This is a long non-coding RNA of Cucumis melo (muskmelon), 1193 nucleotides long. RefSeq lists it as uncharacterized. The transcript has 4 exons. Lineage: Eukaryota; Viridiplantae; Streptophyta; Magnoliopsida; Cucurbitales; Cucurbitaceae. The record is from RefSeq and is a predicted model, not a curated record.
ACUGUUGUUAAACGUAAACUGAAGCUGUCAACCCAAGAGAAAGCUUUCAUGGAGAGUCGAAUUCGAAGGGAUGAUAACAUGCAAAUGGAGGACGAUGAAUCCAUUCCAGAUAUUAACAACAGUGAUACCAAUACUCUUGAUCAUGCAAUGAACAACAAAUCAUUGGAGCAAUCAAACUCAUCUCCACAACUGUCACCACGAAGGAAACAAAGUGAAACAGUGGUUGACCAGUCUGAAAUGAAUCCAAUCACCAACAAGAAAUGUUGCAAAUCAAAGAAGUCUAAUGACAAAGAACAACAAAGUCAUUCAAAAUCCUACAAGAAAUUGAAGAACGAAAUAAAAGAAGUUCGUAAGGAUUUAUCCACACUGACUUCUAUAGUCUCUAGGAUGGAUGACAUAAUCAGAAAGCAGUCAUUAGAGCUAUCUGAAAUGAAGAAUAUGCUCGAGAGAUUGGUCAAGAAUCAAAAUCAAAAUCAAGGGAAUGAUCAUACUCAUCAAAAUUACAAUGAUGUCGAUCAGAAUAGAGAAGAUAUGAUCACUAGUGACCAACCAUAUGUUGAAGAACAACAUACUGAAGAACAACAUACUGAACAUUAAGAGGAAACCCAAAGGGAACAUCAAGAGGAAUUUGGUAGUGAUAUAAGCAUAUACGGCAGGGAUGCAGGCUUGCUACUGACUAUAAGAGAUAUAUCAAAUAAUCUAAAUGCUCAAAGUCAGAAAGAAAAAGACCUGCCAUAAAUGAUUACUACCCUUCCACUUGUGAGCCAACCUCUUCCACUUUGUGAAAUGGCUCCAUUGGAUCAAACUGUACAAAUUCAUGAAGUGCCACCAUCAAUUUCAAUUGUAAAUGAAGAAUCUCAACUGGAAACAAAUGAACAACAAAAACCAAUAAAGAGAAGAAAGCUAUGUGAAAUAGCAAAUAAAAAGGUGUCUGAUGAAGAUGAACAAGUUAAUCCACCCAUAACAUCUACUGAGAUGAUCAUAUCAGAACCUACAAUACCUGUCCCAGAUGUCGAACUCAGAGAUGUAGAUAGAUAUAAUCCCAUGUGGCAAGUGGAUGAAAAAUUAUGGAUGACAUACUUAGAAUGGAAAAGAUCAAGAAAAACAACUCAUGAAGAAAGGAAAGUAGUCUCCACAACCAGAAAAAAGAUUUUUUCAAACAGUUUGAAGAAAACACAUGGAUACUAGGAGAC